UGAGUACGAGCUGCUACGGCAGCGAAGUGGGUGAUGUCAUGCUUCCAAGAAAAGCCCUAUACCCGUUAAGGCAUGAUGGCCUGUACCCGAAACCGACACAGGUGGGGUGGUAGAGAAUACCGAGGGGCGCGAGGUAACUCUCUCUAAGGAACUCGGCAAAAUGGCCCCGUAACUUCGGGAGAAGGGGUGCCACCGCAAGGUGGUCGCAGUGAAGAGGCCCAGGCGACUGUUUACCAAAAACACAGGUCUCCGCUAAGUCGCAAGACGAUGUAUGGGGGCUGACGCCUGCCCAGUGCCGGAAGGUUAAGGAAGCUGGUCAGCGUAAGCGAAGCUAGCGACUGAAGCCCCGGUGAACGGCGGCCGUAACAAUAACGGUCCUAAGGUAGCGAAAUUCCUUGUCGGGUAAGUUCCGACCCGCACGAAAGGCGUAACGAUCUGGGCGCUGUCUCGGAGAGAGGCUCGGCGAAAUAGAAUUGUCUGUGAAGAUGCGGACUACGUGCACCCGGACAGAAAGACCCUAUGAAGCUUUACUGUAGCUUGGUAUUGUGCUCGGGCUCGGAAUGCGCAGGAUAGGUGGGAGGCUAUGAACCAUUGCUUGCGGGUGAUGGUGAGCCACUGGUGAGAUACCACUCUUUCCGAGCUAGAGUUCUAACAGCCACCCGUUAUCCGGGGGCUGGACAGUAUCAGGUGGGCAGUUUGACUGGGGCGGUCGCCUCCUAAAAGGUAACGGAGGCGCGCAAAGGUUUGCUCAGGCUGGUUGGAAAUCAGCCGACGAGUGUAAAAGCAGAAGCAAGCUUGACUGUGAGACCUACAAGUCGAACAGGGAGGAAACUCGGCUUUAGUGAUCCGACGGUUCUGCGUGGAAGGGCCGUCGCUCAACGGAUAAAAGUUACUCUAAGGAUAACAGGCUGAUCUCCCCCAAGAGUUCACAUCGACGGGGAGGUUUGGCACCUCGAUGUCGGCUCAUCGCAACCUGGGGCUGAAGUCGGUCCCAAGGGUUGGGCUGUUCGCCCAUUAAAGCGGUACGCGAGCUGGGUUCAGAACGUCGUGAGACAGUUCGGUCCAUAUCCGGUGCAUGCGCAGGAAUAUUGAGAGGAUUUCUCCCUAGUACGAGAGGACCGGGAGGAACGCACCUCUGGUGUACCAGUUAUCGUGCCAACUGUAAACGCUGGGUAGCCAUGUGCGGAGAUGAUAACCGCUGAAAGCAUCUAAGUGGGAAGCCCACCUCAAGAUGAGUAUUCCCAUGGGGUAACCCAGUAAGGUCACGGGAAGAACACCCGUUGAUAGGCUCUACGUGGAAGCGCAGUAAUGUGUGAAGCGGAGGAGUACUAAUAGACCGAGGGC
Molecule: ribosomal RNA, 1344 nt
Filed under: metagenome
Description: bacterial LSU rRNA
Rfam family: Bacterial large subunit ribosomal RNA
Source: RNAcentral